AGAGUUUGAUCCUGGCUCAGAUUGAACGCUGGCGGCAGGCCUAACACAUGCAAGUCGAGCGGAUGAGUGGAGCUUGCUCCAUGAUUCAGCGGCGGACGGGUGAGUAAUGCCUAGGAAUCUGCCUGGUAGUGGGGGACAACGUUUCGAAAGGAACGCUAAUACCGCAUACGUCCUACGGGAGAAAGCAGGGGACCUUCGGGCCUUGCGCUAUCAGAUGAGCCUAGGUCGGAUUAGCUAGUUGGUGAGGUAAAGGCUCACCAAGGCGACGAUCCGUAACUGGUCUGAGAGGAUGAUCAGUCACACUGGAACUGAGACACGGUCCAGACUCCUACGGGAGGCAGCAGUGGGGAAUAUUGGACAAUGGGCGAAAGCCUGAUCCAGCCAUGCCGCGUGUGUGAAGAAGGUCUUCGGAUUGUAAAGCACUUUAAGUUGGGAGGAAGGGCAGUAAGUUAAUACCUUGCUGUUUUGACGUUACCGGCAGAAUAAGCACCGGCUAACUUCGUGCCAGCAGCCGCGGUAAUACGAAGGGUGCAAGCGUUAAUCGGAAUUACUGGGCGUAAAGCGCGCGUAGGUGGUUCGUUAAGUUGGAUGUGAAAGCCCCGGGCUCAACCUGGGAACUGCAUCCAAAACUGGCGAGCUAGAGUAUGGCAGAGGGUGGUGGAAUUUCCUGUGUAGCGGUGAAAUGCGUAGAUAUAGGAAGGAACACCAGUGGCGAAGGCGACCACCUGGGCUAAUACUGACACUGAGGUGCGAAAGCGUGGGGAGCAAACAGGAUUAGAUAC
RNAcentral lists this ribosomal RNA (782 nucleotides) under bacterium enrichment culture clone 107. RNAcentral's name for it is "bacterial SSU rRNA". It matches the Rfam family "Bacterial small subunit ribosomal RNA", at positions 8 to 785 of the family's 1533-position model. The record is from RNAcentral.